Molecule: ribosomal RNA, 447 nt
Filed under: uncultured bacterium
Lineage: Bacteria
Description: bacterial SSU rRNA
Rfam family: Bacterial small subunit ribosomal RNA
Source: RNAcentral
UCGGGAAUUUUGGGCAAUGGGCGAAAGCCUGACCCAGCAACGCCGCGUGAAGGAUGAAGUAUUUCGGUAUGUAAACUUCGAAAGAAUAGGAAGAAUAAAUGACGGUACUAUUUAUAAGGUCCGGCUAACUACGUGCCAGCAGCCGCGGUAAUACGUAGGGACCAAGCGUUGUUCGGAUUUACUGGGCGUAAGGGGCGCGUAGGCGGCAAUUCAAGUCAUCUGUGAAAUCUCCGGGCUUAACUCGGAACGGUCAGAUGAUACUGCUUUGCUAGAGUGCAGAAGGGGCAAUCGGAAUUCUUGGUGUAGCGGUGAAAUGCGUAGAUAUCAAGAGGAACACCUGAGGUGAAGACGGGUUGCUGGGCUGACACUGACGUUGAGGCGCGAAAGCCAGGGGAGCAAACGGGAUUAGAUACCCCUGUAGUCCCUGAGCGGGCUGGCAAGGCGCAU